RNAcentral lists this long non-coding RNA (1527 nucleotides) under Equus caballus (horse). Its description in RNAcentral is "lncRNA (ENSECAG00000050776.1)". Lineage: Eukaryota; Metazoa; Chordata; Mammalia; Perissodactyla; Equidae. The record is from RNAcentral.
CACGUAGGCAGAUCCGCCCAGGGGGCCCCAGAGGGUGUGCAUGCCUCAAGCAGCCCUCUAAAGGUCCCCGCCAAGUCUGUCCCAGGGGUGGCUUCUGCCCUAGGAAGGCCAGCAGUUUACUGAACUCCACCCAGGAGCUGGUUUGUAAAGCGAGAAGGGAGGCUGGGCUGCUGGCUGCCCUGCCUGAUCCAGACACAACACUGAUCCAAAAAGCACACGGAAGGCUGUUCAGCAGAGAUGAGCAGAUGAUGAAGAAGAUUCAGAGAGGUCAAACUACUUGCCUAUGGACACUGACUGGGCUCUCUGCCUGGUGAACUCCGACUCCGCAGCGUGUGCACAGCCUCGGCUGGAGCCGCAGGGAGCAGGUGUUGGAGCAUCGCAGGUGUUGGAGCAUCACAGGUGUGGACAGCAAGGUCAGCAGAACUUCAAUGUCAGCGUGUGAGACCCCUGCUAUUGGUGUCAGACAAAGUGCUUUGCAAAGCCCGGAGAUCCACACCAGGCUCCGGCAGACCCUGUGUCAGUCCUGCGCAAGGCUUCACCCCCUGGUACCGCCUGAGGGGGAGGCAGGGACUCGGCCUGAGAGGGCUGCGGGAUGCGGGCUUUGGGGAUGCUCCCCAAGUGCCUUGGGCCUGGCCAGGUCGGGACGUCCCUGGGGAUGAGAGAUAGCCCCCGCGGGCUCCUGGGCCCCACCUGAGAAGGUGUGCAAGGGAGAAGCAGGAGCCCAGAGUCCCCAAGCUCCCAGGGGCCUGCUGCCUGAGCCGGCUGCCAGACAGCUCUGUGGCACCACCAGGCUCAGGAACUUAUUCAGGAAACAAGGACUUCCGGAGAGCCUGCUUCAAGUCAGGCCCUGGGCUGGGCUCUGAGGACUCGGUGAGGAACAGCAGACGCAGCCCCUGCCUUCACAGAGCUGGCACUCCAGCGGGAGGGACAGACACAGCCUGUCAAAUAGAGACGGAAGGAUUUGGCAGCAGCUAUGUCAGUACCACGAAGGAGGAUGGGAGCUGGUGUGGUAGGCCUCAGACCUGGUCUAGGGGGACCCCCAGAAGUGUGUUUCAGCCGAGAUCCCCAGGAGGACAGGAAGCAGCCGGGAAGCACUAUGGGGUGGUGACUGGGCUGGCCCCUUUUGCUCGUGUGAGCACUCUGAGCCCUGGGGCCUCCUCUGUACUGGGGAGAGGGUAUGCGUCUUCUCCCAGGGGCUGGGCCGCUCCAGUGGGUGCUGGGGAAGCAGCUGGCAAAGGCAGGUGCUUCAUUACACUUGACAGGCUACCCGUGUGCCUGGCUGUGCCCGGGAGCAGAGAUGGAGGAGACCCGGCUGGGACCGCCACCCAGGGUUUGACCCAAGAGCAGCCUCCACCCAGAAGAGGCACCUGACACUACUCCAGCCGACCCCUGGGGACAGGGUACUAUGACAGUCCAGAGAGAUAAGGCUAGUAAACCCCUAGCAAUUAAAGCAUAAUUAAUACAGCACAACCAUUAGGGACAAUUACGGACUUAACUCUGCCUCCCGCUUCCGGGCCCACGGGCAUC